UAUUGCUUUUCGUGUACAAUGUCCAGAAUGACUUGGUCCGUGGCUGGGGUCUUGAUUUUGCCCUCAGAAAAUGUGUAGAGCCCGCCCAUGAGAAGAUAGGCGUCGUAGAUGCCCAGUGGAUUGUUCAUCAGUCCGUCCCCUCUCUCGGGAACCAGGGAGAGUCGCAAGACGGGAAGGCUCCAUGGAAAGGGGUAAGGGAAAGAUGUAGGAAGGAAUGGAGCAUAUUUCAAGUGCGGUUUUCAGCAGCGGAGAGAGCUUACUUCAAGUCGAUAAAUUCAACAUCUCGUUAGGACUGAUAGCAAGCAAAACUCGAAAAACCUGACCUGUUCGCCGCAUUAUUCAGACUCAGAGCCACCCCUCACCGU
Long non-coding RNA from Hibiscus syriacus, 365 nucleotides. RefSeq lists it as uncharacterized. The transcript has 4 exons. The record is from RefSeq and is a predicted model, not a curated record. Lineage: Eukaryota; Viridiplantae; Streptophyta; Magnoliopsida; Malvales; Malvaceae.